GUCCGCUCCCGCCCGCCGGCCCGCGUUUUUUUAACUCUCCGCCACGUCUCGCGAGGGCGGCGGCGCGCAGGUUGCCGCAGCAACGGCAUCACGCGGGAACUACGGUGAAAGCCGGGCGUUACCUGGCGUGCUGCCUGGCCUGCUGAGUCCCUCCAGCAUUUUAUGUGUGCUGCAUGUUAAUGAGAGCGAUCAGAGGAGAAUGGCCAAGCUGGUUGUGGUGAACUAUGUGCCUGUCUGGAUACGCUCCCUGCUGACUGCUCCUAUGGCUCCUCCCACAAACCCUGUAUAAAGGCCAUCAAGGCCUGAGCCCAGCCUCUCAGUCUCCAGGAUGUAGUAUGGUGGUCACUCACUGUUUGUUCCUUCUUCCAGUCAAUAAAAGCCGAUAUCUCGC
Long non-coding RNA from Hypanus sabinus (Atlantic stingray), 391 nucleotides. RefSeq lists it as uncharacterized. The record is from RefSeq and is a predicted model, not a curated record. NCBI's taxonomy places the organism in Eukaryota, Metazoa, Chordata, Chondrichthyes, Myliobatiformes, Dasyatidae. The transcript is spliced from 2 exons.